AAAGUGGCGAACGGCUGAGUAACACGUGGGCAACCUGCCCUUUGCACUGGGAUAGCCUCGGGAAACCGAGGUUAAUACCGGAUACUUCAUAUUUGUCGCAUGGCGAAUAUGGGAAAGCUCCGGCGGCAAAGGAUGGGCCCGCGGCCUGUUAGCUAGUUGGUGGGGUAGUGGCCUACCAAGGCAAUGAUGGGUAGCCGGGUUGAGAGACCGACCGGCCAGAUUGGGACUGAGACACGGCCCAGACUCCUACGGGAGGCAGCAGUGGGGAAUCUUGCACAAUGGGCGAAAGCCUGAUGCAGCGACGCCGCGUGCGGGAUGAAGGCCUUCGGGUUGUAAACCGCUUUCAGCAGGGACGAGGCCGCAAGGUGACGGUACCUGCAGAAGAAGCCCCGGCUAACUACGUGCCAGCAGCCGCGGUAAUACGUAGGGGGCAAGCGUUAUCCGGAUUUACUGGGUGUAAAGGGAGUGUAGGCGGCACUAUAAGUCUGAUGUGAAAACCUAAGGCUUAACCAUAGGAUUGCAUUGGAAACUGUAGAGCUGGAGUAUCGGAGAGGCAAGCGGAAUUCCUGGUGUAGUGGUGAAAUACGUAGAUAUCAGGAAGAACAUCGGUGGCGAAGGCGGCUUGCUGGACGAUAACUGACGCUAAGGCUCGAAAGCGUGGGAAGCGAACAGGAUUAGAUACCCUGGUAGUCCACGCUGUAAACGAUGAACACUAGGUGUUGGGAGGCUAACUCUUUCAGUGCCGCAGCAAACGCAAUUAAGUGUUCCACCUGGGGAGUACGUUUCGCAAGAAUGAAACUCAA
RNAcentral lists this ribosomal RNA (803 nucleotides) under uncultured bacterium. RNAcentral describes it as "bacterial SSU rRNA". It matches the Rfam family "Bacterial small subunit ribosomal RNA", at positions 92 to 904 of the family's 1533-position model. The record is from RNAcentral.